UGGCAGGUGAUCACGAAUAACUGUGCUUUUGUUCAGCUGCAAUGAGCUACAGUACAUGUUACUGUAUGAAUGGAAAAGUACUAUGGUAGUCAAUGACUACUGUUAACAGUUUGAUUACUAAAACUGAUCAGAAUGUCUUCUUUGGUGUUCAACAGCUAAAAACAAAACCCUCAUAAAGGUUUGGAACGAGUGUAGGGUUUGUGAAGACUGAAGACUGGUGCUGAGGUGAUAAACCAAAGCCAGGCCUGCCUUGUUAUUACAUUACCAGGUUUGUGAAGAUUGAAGACUGGUGCUGAGGUGAUAAACCAAAGCCAGGCCUGCCUCGUUAUUACAUUAUCAGGAUUUGGUCAUGUUGAAGCUGAAGACUACCUGCUUUAUCUUUGUAACCUUCCUGCCAUUGGACACUUUCCACUGUGGAAUACGUCAGGAUUGAAACCAAACAAUGCAUUUCAGUAGUCUUAAUAUACUUCUGCUGUCUGCUAUCUUAAAGUACACAGCUCAGAACACUCACUAUUGAAGAGUUUUAAACUGUUCUUAUGAUGUCAUCAGCCAAUUAGUGUUGUCAUGAUCUACAAUCAUCAGUCAUAUGACAUUUACAACCCUGAAACAUUUCAAAUCAUACAAUAUGUAAAGAUUGGAAUAUUCAUUUAUUUAAACAAACAAACAAACAAACAAGAAAUAUUAAUUGCUUGAAUAUUGAUUUACUCAUUUGAAUAAAUUAAUAAAUAAAUAUUGAUUGGUAUAUAUAUUUUAAUGGAAGAGGAUUAGGGCUAAGCAAAAACGUUUAGAUUAAAGUCAUUAUAAUACAAGAUUAAACUCAUUAAAUUUCAAGAAAAAUGUUGAAAUAAAAUGUUGGGAUUAAACUCUGAUUUAUUUUCGAG
Molecule: long non-coding RNA, 881 nt
Organism: Cyprinus carpio carpio
Lineage: Eukaryota; Metazoa; Chordata; Actinopteri; Cypriniformes; Cyprinidae
Source: Ensembl